RNAcentral lists this ribosomal RNA (440 nucleotides) under uncultured bacterium. RNAcentral describes it as "partial 16S ribosomal RNA". It matches the Rfam family "Bacterial small subunit ribosomal RNA", at positions 338 to 795 of the family's 1533-position model. The record is from RNAcentral.
CCUACGGGGGGCAGCAGUGGGGAAUAUUGCACAAUGGGGGAAACCCUGAUGCAGCAACGCCGCGUGGGUGAAGAAGUAAUUCGGUAUGUAAAGCUCUGUCAGCAGGGAAGAAGGUGACGGUACCUGAGUAAGAAGCCCCGGCUAACUACGUGCCAGCAGCCGCGGUAAUACGUAGGGGGCAAGCGUUAUCCGGAUUUACUGGGUGUAAAGGGAGCGUAGACGGCAGUGCAAGUCUGGAGUGAAAGGCCGGGGCUCAACCCCCGGACUGCUCUGGAAACUGUACGGCUGGAGUGCAGGAGAGGUAAGUGGAAUUCCUAGUGUAGCGGUGAAAUGCGUAGAUAUUAGGAGGAACACCAGUGGCGAAGGCGGCUUACUGGACUGUAACUGACGUUGAGGCUCGAAGGCGUGGGGAGCAAACAGGAUUAGAUACCCGGGUAGUC